UCCUGGUAAAAUCGGGUAGCUUAACUAUCUAUAUGCUAGGAAUACUGCUAUACUAGAGGGCGGGAGAGGUCUGAGGUACUACAGGGGUAGGGGUGAAAUCUUAUAAUCCUUGUAGGACCACCAGUGGCGAAGGCGUCAGACUGGAACGCGCCUGACGGUGAGGGACGAAAGCCAGGGGAGCGAACCGGAUUAGAUACCCGGGUAGUCCUGGCCGUAAACGAUGCAUACUAGGUGAUGGUACGGCCAUGAGCCGUAUCAGUGCCGUAGGGAAACCGUUAAGUGUGCCGCCUGGGAAGUACGGUCGCAAGGCUAAAACUUAAAGGAGUUGGCGGGGGAGCACCACAAGGGGUGAAGCCUGCGGUUCAAUUGGACUCAACGCCGGGAAACUUACCAGGGGAGACAGCAGUAUGACGGUCAGGUUGACGACCUUACCCGACGAGCUGAGAGGAGGUGCAUGGCCGUCGCCAGUUCGUGCCGUGAGGUAUCCUGUUAAGUCAGGCAACGAACGAGAUCCGCGCCUUUAUUUGCCAACAAGAAGUCACGACUUCGUUGGGAACACUAAAGGGACCGCCGUCGAUAAGACGGAGGAAGGAGCGGGCAAAGGCAGGUCAGUAUGCCCCGAAACCCCUGGGCUACACGCGGGCUGCAAUGGUAUGAACAAUGGGCUGUGACUCCGAAAGGAGAAACCAAUCCCGAAAUCAUAUCUCAGUUGGAAUUGUCGGCUGUAACCCGCCGACAUGAACGUGGAAUCCCUAGUAAUCGUGUGUCAUCAUCGCACGGUGAAUACGUCUCUGCUCCUUG
Molecule: ribosomal RNA, 801 nt
Filed under: uncultured archaeon
Lineage: Archaea
Description: bacterial SSU rRNA
Rfam family: Archaeal small subunit ribosomal RNA
Source: RNAcentral